CUACGGGAUGCACCAGUGAGGAAUUUUGCGCAAUGGGGGCAACCCUGACGCAGCAACGCCGCGUGAGUGAAGAAGGCCUUUGGGUCGUAAAGCUCUGUCAACAGGGAAGAAGUUACUCCAUAUUAAUAGUAUGUAGUAUUGACGGUACCUGUGGAGGAAGCAUCGGCUAACUCCGUGCCAGUAGCCGCGGUAAUACGGGGGAUGCAAGCGUUAUUCGGAAUCAUUGGGCGUAAAGGGCACGCAGGCGGCUCUGUCAGUCAGAUGUGAAAGCCCGGGGCUCAACCCCGGACGUGCAUUUGAAACAGCAGAGCUUGAGUACGGUAGAGGAAAGCGGAAUUCCUGGUGUAGAGGUGAAAUUCGUAGAUAUCAGGAGGAACACCGGUGGCGAAGGCGGCUUUCUGGACCGAAACUGACGCUGAGGUGCGAAGGCGUGGGUAGCGAACAGGAUUAGAUACCCGAGUAGUC
This 465-nucleotide ribosomal RNA is filed under the name uncultured bacterium. RNAcentral's name for it is "partial 16S ribosomal RNA". It matches the Rfam family "Bacterial small subunit ribosomal RNA", at positions 339 to 795 of the family's 1533-position model. The record is from RNAcentral.